Long non-coding RNA from Tribolium castaneum (red flour beetle), 724 nucleotides. RefSeq lists it as uncharacterized. The record is from RefSeq and is a predicted model, not a curated record. The transcript has 2 exons. Lineage: Eukaryota; Metazoa; Arthropoda; Insecta; Coleoptera; Tenebrionidae.
ACUGUCAGACACCGCCCCUUUUAUGUAGCAAGGGUUGCAACCCUGAAUUUUUACGCUAAAUUUGAGCGAUCGAAUUACCUGAAAGUAACUCGAGCCCUGUGUGCAAUGAAGCCGUAAACAAUGCAAACUGGAAGUCAUGAUGAUGCUGCAACUUGUCAUAUUUAACCUGUCUAUUCAAUCAAAAGCUUGGGGUGACUCUAAAAGCGAUCGUAUCAUGUGAUUAUUGCCUAUUAUCGGCCGAUUAGUGUUGAGGGCGAAAAGUUUCAUCUGCGCUGUGGAAUAAAUUGUUUAAUGAUUUACUCCAAGGCUGCUACGAAGCAUGAAAUAACAGUUAGCUGAGUGCAGUAAGAGUUUUAAUAUGCGUGUGUUAUUAAAACAAUUAAGAGAGUUGGAAAAGAAUAAAUAGGGUUGAUUGCGAUGGUAUCGUCCGAUGAGUCAUGAUAAUGAAAAGUCUAAAAGCUAGGAAUAUAGCAGUCAGGUUAUUCGUAAACCAUAUUUAUUUGAUCAAUACUCGGGGCCUCCUGCAGAGCAGCGCCAGACUUGCGGUCUACCCUCGCCUAAUCAAUAUACAAAAACACUAUAUAAUUUAGUGUUUUACGGCGGACCGAUCUUAUAUACCCUACCUACCUGAGCCCAGCUCACCAUGAAUCUAUAACUAUGUACUAUAUUUAUUACGAAUUAUUUGUUUUAUUUCCACCACUAAUAAAUAUGUCUGCAUUAUAAA